AACGAACGCUGGCGGCAUGCCUAACACAUGCAAGUCGAACGAGACCUUCGGGUCUAGUGGCGCACGGGUGCGUAACGCGUGGGAACCUGCCCUUAGGUUCGGAAUAACUCUCCGAAAGGGGUGCUAAUACCGGAUAAUGUCUUCGGACCAAAGAUUUAUCGCCUUUGGAUGGGCCCGCGUUGGAUUAGCUAGUUGGUAGGGUAAAAGCCUACCAAGGCGACGAUCCAUAGCUGGUCUGAGAGGAUGAUCAGCCACACUGGGACUGAGACACGGCCCAGACUCCUACGGGAGGCAGCAGUGGGGAAUAUUGGACAAUGGGCGAAAGCCUGAUCCAGCAAUGCCGCGUGAGUGAUGAAGGCCUUAGGGUUGUAAAGCUCUUUUACCCGGGAUGAUAAUGACAGUACCGGGAGAAUAAGCUCCGGCUAACUCCGU
This 432-nucleotide ribosomal RNA is filed under the name uncultured bacterium. RNAcentral describes it as "partial 16S ribosomal RNA". It matches the Rfam family "Bacterial small subunit ribosomal RNA", at positions 29 to 506 of the family's 1533-position model. The record is from RNAcentral.